UUAAAUGUAGAAGAAAAAAACUUACAUGAUAGGCUUCGUUAAUUCUGCUGAAAUGGACGCCGGAGUUUUUACCAUUGCAGACGUCUGGAUGAUACUGCAACGCGAGUUGCCGGAAGGCCUUUUUGACCUCCAUCUCAGACGAACCAGGUUGGAUUCUGAGGGUUUUAUAUUGCUCUGUUAAACUCGAUGUUCUAUAAGAAGAAACACACAUGACUCUCCUCCUGAUUUUGUUCUUGUUCUCGUUCUUGUUCUUCGUCCUCGCCGUCAGAACCUUUCCAAAUAGAGAACCACCUCCAAUCCCGACGGUGCUAGCAGCCAUUGACGGAUUCAAAGACGACCCAAUUCGCGAAACAGUGACAGAAUCCUGGAAAAUCGAACAAGAUUCAAUCUUGGAGCGGGAGCCGAUUGGAAACAGGGGUGAUUGCGGAUGAUGUAGGUUAGGAAAAAAAAGGAAGGGGGGAGUAGAUAAAUAAAGAUUUUUUUGGCAUGAUCAGAAGAUGCGCUUUUGCUUACGUGGCACGUUGGUCUGAUGUGUGUCCGACUGUUAGUGUUAUUGAUCCUUAUCCACGACAGGGGUGAGAAAAAUGUGUUCUUUUUUUUAAUGCUUGGAUCUGAACCGUACGUCGACG
This 629-nucleotide long non-coding RNA is filed under the name Zostera marina. RNAcentral's name for it is "long non-coding RNA (ZMAR_LNC003218)". The record is from RNAcentral. Lineage: Eukaryota; Viridiplantae; Streptophyta; Magnoliopsida; Alismatales; Zosteraceae.